CCAAAGCAGUCUCCACGGUGAGAAGGGGGAAAUGACGAUGUGAAGAAUCGCAGAGGCGGCUCUCCUCUUUGUCCUCCUCGGUGGCAACGAGCGCGAUUUGGUGAUCAAGUUUCACCAGGAAUCAAACUAAUGGUGCAUGGCCUGAAGAAUGUAUGGGGAUCAAUGCGUGCAGUAGUUUCCACAGCAUGUGAGUUUAUGGUACUAACAUCAAAAGGAGCCGCUGAUGAGAAUAUUGUAGAGCAAAGACUGCUCAAGGAGCUGUGCAAACAUGGCUUUUAAUAAAAUUGACUUGGAUAGGGAGUUUUCUUGGGCUAAAAGAUUAUGACCUGUAGCAGUCCAUGGAUGAGCUUUUUGGUUGUGUAUGAUGAAUAGAUUUUUGCCUUGAGAGCAGAGCUUCAGGUUCUCGUUAGCCUGUAACUCCUUGCUUCUUUUAUCACAUGCUUUAGUGAUCCUCGAUGCCUGCAAGAUUACUGAAACUAAUAUUUGAGAUUGGUAGCCCAAUUUUUUCUCUC
Non-coding RNA from Musa acuminata subsp. malaccensis (wild Malaysian banana), 512 nucleotides. Lineage: Eukaryota; Viridiplantae; Streptophyta; Magnoliopsida; Zingiberales; Musaceae. The record is from RefSeq and is a predicted model, not a curated record.